GCCUGGCUGGCUCAGUCGGUGGAACGUGUGACUCUGGAUCUCAAGGUUGUGGGUUCGAGCCCCACAUUGGGUG
Molecule: non-coding RNA, 73 nt
Organism: Neomonachus schauinslandi (Hawaiian monk seal)
Lineage: Eukaryota; Metazoa; Chordata; Mammalia; Carnivora; Phocidae
Source: the annotation of a RefSeq genome assembly